Molecule: ribosomal RNA, 256 nt
Filed under: Shigella flexneri
Lineage: Bacteria; Pseudomonadati; Pseudomonadota; Gammaproteobacteria; Enterobacterales; Enterobacteriaceae
Description: partial 16S ribosomal RNA
Rfam family: Bacterial small subunit ribosomal RNA
Source: RNAcentral
AAAUUGAAGAGUUUGAUCAUGGCUCAGAUUGAACGCUGGCGGCAGGCCUAACACAUGCAAGUCGAACGGUAACAGGAAGCGCUUGCUGCUUCGCUGACGAGUGGCGGACGGGUGAGUAAUGUCUGGGAAACUGCCUGAUGGAGGGGGAUAACUACUGGAAACGGUAGCUAAUACCGCAUAACGUCGCAAGACCAAAGAGGGGGACCUUCGGGCCUCUUGCCAUCGGAUGUGCCCAGAUGGGAUUAGCUUGUUGGUG